UCCUACUUGUUAGAUUUUUAGUAUUUUUCUGUUCCACAGCUUGCAUAACUUCGACUCCUUCUUUCUUCUUAACUUCGACUCCUUCUUUCUUCUUUUUGAAUUUUUCUCUCAAUGUGUGUUGAAUUUUGAAGCCCUUUGUUAUUUCUGCGAUUUUCUUUUAAUUUGGCUUCAUGAAGCGAAAAGAGGUUGAAGAAGUAGAUGAUCAAGAAACGCCAAUUGAUAGACUGCCCUUUGAUCGCUUGGCUAAUAAUUUUGCUCUGCUUACUUGUUUCAAUCUCACUUAAUUUACCUAAUUCUUUUCCCUCUACAUUUUCUUCUGAAUCUACCCCUUUGUUUCUGUUUCGUGUUGUGUUUAUUUUGUCAUUUCUUGGCUACUUAUUUGUAGGAUGAGCGCUGUGAGCAAGAAAUGGAGAGAGGGGUGAAAGAAUCCUUAGCUAGAAGAGAAAGUUUGAGUUUUUCUGGUUUCCCGGAUCUAAAUUUUUAAAUAUGUUUGAAUAUCCACCAUAGUUGGGCUUAAAGCUCGGUUUUAUUUUUGAAGACUUCUUGUUUGAUUCGAAGUGGGUGCUCUUAAAUCUUGUUUAUAGUACCUUUUGGAAGAUCAUACUGAAAUUUAAUAGCAUUUGGAGCUGAUUUGAAGUGAGUCAUAUCAUAUUGUAUACCGCUAGAGUGUACAAUAUGAUGUAGGAGUAUAUAGCUAUAUCGCAACAGUAUACUAUUGUAGUUUACAAUAUGCUACAACGGUAUAUUAUAAUAAUCGAAGAAAACACCGUUACCUAACAGUAUACCACUACAGUAUACAAUAUACUAUAGGAGUAUAUUGUUAUACUGCAAUGGUAUACUGUAAUAGUAUAUAAUAUUUUAUUAUAGUAUACCGUAAUAAUAUACAAUGUAAUGUAACAUUAUGUUGUAAUAGUAUACAUAUACUAUAAUAUUAUACUUAUUACCCAUAAAUUCACUUGUCUUUUUUCCUUUUAAUUUACUUUAAGUUUUUACCCAGCGUGAGGGGCAAAUUGAACAUGAAAAAAAAAAUUAUAAUAUGUUAUAUAAUGUAACGGUAUACUCUUACAAUUAGAUCCUUCUAGAAUUUUUAAAAUUUUUUAUUGACAACUGAUAUUAUUUAAGUUUGAUAAUUGAAUUUAAAAAAAUAACUCUUUGCGUGCAAUUGUAUACUAUAUACAGUGGAGAUUGACGGCUCAAUUUUACGGGCAUCAAGGCAUCUCUAGGGCUUCCGAUUAUCGACUCCGAGAAUUCUCAAUGGUCGACUUUGAGAUCGUCGGUCCCAAGACAUUAAGAAUUAUCGGUCUCGGUAGAUCAGGAUAGAGUUCAUAAGGCACGUGCAUAUGACAGGUCAAGUUUAGUGGACUAGCCUAAAAGGCGAAUUAAGGCAUUUAAUGAUUGUACCGGCCCCAUAUCUUUGUAAUUAAUAUAUUUGUACUAUGUUGGGAAUUUUCCUCUUAUAUAAAGGGGGUCCUUGUUAUUUUGUAAACAUCUGUUGCACCAUAUUAAAUAUACUAGAAUAUUCUCUAUGCUCUCUAA
Molecule: long non-coding RNA, 1536 nt
Filed under: Nicotiana benthamiana
Lineage: Eukaryota; Viridiplantae; Streptophyta; Magnoliopsida; Solanales; Solanaceae
Description: long non-coding RNA (NBEN_LNC013580)
Source: RNAcentral